UACGUAGGCAGCAAGCGUUGUUCGGAGUUACUGGGCGUAAAGGGUGCGUAGGCGGCCGUGUAAGUGUGGUGUGAAAUCUCCCCGGCUUAACUGGGAGGGUGCGCUACAGACUGCAUGGCUAGAGUGUGGGAGAGGAAAGUGGAAUUCCUGGUGUAGCGGUGAAAUGCGUAGAUAUCAGGAGGAACACCGGUGGUGUAAACGGCUUUCUGGACCAUAACUGACGCUGAUGCACGAAAAGCGUGGGUAGCAAACAGG
RNAcentral lists this ribosomal RNA (255 nucleotides) under uncultured bacterium. Its description in RNAcentral is "partial 16S ribosomal RNA". It matches the Rfam family "Bacterial small subunit ribosomal RNA", at positions 524 to 776 of the family's 1533-position model. The record is from RNAcentral.